RNAcentral lists this unclassified non-coding RNA (328 nucleotides) under soil metagenome. RNAcentral describes it as "partial contains 5.8S ribosomal RNA, internal transcribed spacer 2, and large subunit ribosomal RNA". The stretch from base 1 to 120 matches the Rfam family "5.8S ribosomal RNA", at positions 35 to 154 of the family's 154-position model. The record is from RNAcentral.
GAUGAAGAACGUAGCGAAAUGCGAUAAGUAAUGUGAAUUGCAGAAUUCAGUGAAUCAUCGAAUCUUUGAACGCACAUUGCGCCCCUUGGUAUUCCGAGGGGCAUGCCUGUUCGAGCGUCAUUAUAACCCUUCAAGCUCAGCUUGGUGUUGGGGCCUGCUGUAACUGGUAGCCCUUAAAAUCAGUGGCAGUGCUAUUAGGCUCUAAGCGUAGUAAUUCUUCUCGCUAUAGUGUGUAGUGAGCGCUUGCCAGAACCCCAAGCUUUUAUAUGAUUGACCUCGGAUCAGGUAGGGAUACCCGCUGAACUUAAGCAUAUCAAUAAGCGGAGGA